UCAUCGCGCUUGUUGAAAAGCCAGUGGCGCGAAGCUACCGUGCGUUGGAUUAUGACUGAACGCCUCUAAGUCAGAAUCCGGGCUAGACCGACGCAUGCGCUCGUCGCCGUUUGCCGACCCGCAGUAGGGGCCAUUUGGCCCCCAAGGGCACGUGUCGUUGGCUAAGCCGUCGUGGGCGGAAGGGUCACGGUGGCCCGCCUUGAAUUACAAUUCCGAUCGAGGCGGCGAGCUGAAUCCUUUGCAGACGACUUAAAUACGCGACCGGGGUAUUGUAAGGGUAGAGUGGCCUUGCUGCCACGCAUCCUCUGAGAUUCAGCCCUUUGUCGCUCCGAUUCGU
This 337-nucleotide non-coding RNA is filed under the name Ipomoea nil (Japanese morning glory). RNAcentral describes it as "Eukaryotic large subunit ribosomal RNA". It matches the Rfam family "Eukaryotic large subunit ribosomal RNA", at positions 3064 to 3401 of the family's 3401-position model. The record is from Rfam by way of RNAcentral. Lineage: Eukaryota; Viridiplantae; Streptophyta; Magnoliopsida; Solanales; Convolvulaceae.